UGAUGGCGACCGGCGCACGGGUGAGUAACACGUAUCCAACCUGCCGAUAACUCGGGGAUAGCCUUUCGAAAGAAAGAUUAAUACCCGAUGGCAUAAUUAGACCGCAUGGUCUUGUUAUUAAAGAAUUUCGGUUAUCGAUGGGGAUGCGUUCCAUUAGGCAGUUGGUGAGGUAACGGCUCACCAAACCUUCGAUGGAUAGGGGUUCUGAGAGGAAGGUCCCCCACAUUGGAACUGAGACACGGUCCAA
RNAcentral lists this ribosomal RNA (247 nucleotides) under uncultured bacterium. RNAcentral's name for it is "partial 16S ribosomal RNA". It matches the Rfam family "Bacterial small subunit ribosomal RNA", at positions 86 to 334 of the family's 1533-position model. The record is from RNAcentral.